UAGUCAUAUGCUUGUCUCAAAGAUUAAGCCAUGCAUGUCUAAGUAUAAGCACUUAUACUGUGAAACUGCGAAUGGCUCAUUAAAUCAGUUAUAGUUUAUUUGAUAGUACCUUACUACUUGGAUAACCGUGGUAAUUCUAGAGCUAAUACAUGCUAAAAACCCCGACUCACGAAGGGGUGUAUUUAUUAGAUAAAAAACCAAUGCGGGCAACCGCUUCUUUGGUGAUUCAUAAUAACUGCUCGAAUCGCAUGGCUUUAUGCCGGCGAUGGUUCAUUCAA
RNAcentral lists this ribosomal RNA (278 nucleotides) under uncultured eukaryote. RNAcentral's name for it is "partial 18S ribosomal RNA". It matches the Rfam family "Eukaryotic small subunit ribosomal RNA", at positions 21 to 302 of the family's 1831-position model. The record is from RNAcentral.